CAUGAGGUUUACCGGACACGGGUCAGAUAAAAGGAACGUAUGCAUAAACUUGUUACCGUCAUGCAUACAACAGAGUGGAGCAGUAAAUUCUUCCCUUACUAUAUGCCCCGUAGCACUCAUAGAUGAGUUAAACUGCCCACUCAAGGUGACAAAUGGGAAUUCAUCUUUGCGUAUGACAGAGUUGAUUGCACCAGAGUCUACCAUAAACAACAAUGCCUGUCCCUCAAACAUUAUUUCUUCGAGAGGCAGUUUAGAGAUGUUGCCUCUCGUUCAGCAUCAAGCAAAGCAAGUUCUUCAUUGCAUAGAGCGUUUCUUUCCCUUUCACACACAUCAGAAAAAAACAGAAUUAGCAAGCAGAUAAUAUGGCAUUUGAACCGCAGAAAAAACAAGAUUGGACUUACCCGCCUCCGUACGAUGCUCCCCUUCCCCCUCCUGGCUUCAGUCGGCCCUUUCUUUACACACCGGCAGGUUUCCCGUGCUCCCUUGGGAUUCCGGUGUCCCUUUAGUUUUCAGGAAAUGGAAACAUUGUUUUUCAAAUGUCCUUUCUGUCCGCAAUACCAGCAAACAUUUUCUUUCGGAUCUCCUCUCCUCUUCUCUCAUUCUCUCUGCUGCCCGUUCUCUCGGGAGCGUUGUCCUUGCGAAGAGAAAUUGCGUUGUUAUGUUGUGGCUGUGCCCAUUCUCCUAUCUUGGCAAAAGCUGAAGAUAGCUGUUUCUCUGGUGAACGGCUUCUCUGCUGUUUCCUUAGGCCUUGCCUCCCAUUCCGUCUUUAUCUGAACAUCAUCUUUGUCCUCUUCAAAAGUGCUGUCAAGGAUGUGGAUGAUCUCUGAUUCUGGUCCACGUGGCAGUUCUUGCAUCGGCGGUGGCGGGGGUGCAGAAGGUGGUGCUUGUCGUGCUGGCUGUUGUAUCUGUGCGGCUUGUUGAGCUGGUGGUGGUGGAGGGCGACGUUGUGGAGGGGGUUGGAGGUCAUCGUCCAGAAGCGGUACCCUUGUGAAUUGGAAAUGUACCCCAGGUGGGGUACGUGCAGGUGCAUAGGGAGGAGGGAAAAAAAAAAGAAA
This is a non-coding RNA of Paramisgurnus dabryanus, 1055 nucleotides long. The record is from RefSeq and is a predicted model, not a curated record. NCBI's taxonomy places the organism in Eukaryota, Metazoa, Chordata, Actinopteri, Cypriniformes, Cobitidae.